AGUAAGAUUUAAUUAAUAUUUAUUUGAGAUUUAUAUAUUAUUUUGUAAAUUUUAUUAUUAAUAAAAUAUAUUGGGUUUAUUAUCUUCCUUUUUGUAUCACGGUCCAAUAAAUUAAUGAAAGGAUUUUCUAAUCCGAAACCCCAUGAUUAUAUUUUCUCUAGUUUUGAACAUAAUUGUUGAGAGGACCUCUUAAUAAAAUAGAAUUUAAGAAUAAAGAUUAUAGAUCGGAUGGGGUUAUAUCUGAUUGAAAAGGAUAUUAUAUCUAAUUAUAUUUAAGGGUUAAUUUCUUAAAUAUUUUUAAAGAAUUAAUUAUUGUUUGAAAUAUUGUUUAAGGUGAGAAGUUCCUUUUAAUUUAACAGUGUUAUAACUUUAUUAAAAUAUUAAUUAUUUCUUAAAAUAAAAAACUUUUCUUAUAUGAAUUAUAAUGCCAUAAUGAUGGAAUUAGUAUAAUAAAUAAGUCAUAUUAACUCGGUAUUUUUACAACUGUUUAUCAAAAACAUUUCCUUUAGAAUAUAUUUAAAGGUAUUGCCUGCUCAAUGUAUAAAUAAAUAGCUGCGGUAUCUUAACUGCACUAAGGUAGCAUAAUUAAUUGUCUUUUAAAUGGUGACUUGUUUGAAUGGUUUUAUGAGAAAAAAACUUUCUUUGACUUAAAUAGAACUUAUAUUUUAAGGUUAAAAUACCUAAUUUAUAAAGAAAGACGAGAAGACCCUGUUGAGUUUUACGAAUAUAUUAAAAUCGUUAAAAUGGGAAAUUUAAUUUUUUAAUAAAAUUUAAUAGAUCCUAAAUCUAUAAAGAUUUGGAAAAAGGAUAAAAUUACCACAGGGAUAACAGGACUAUAUCUUCUGAGAGUUCUUAUUGAAGAAGGUGUUUGUUACCUCGAUGUUGAAUCGAAAUAACUUUUUAGUGCAGCAGCUAAAUAAGUGGGUCUGUUCGACCUUUAAAAUUUCACGUGAUUUGAGUUAAGACCGGCGUGAGCCAGGUUGGUUUCUAUCUUCUUAUGACUGUUUUUUGUACGAAAGGAAUUGAACGGUUAAUUAUAAUUAAAC
This 1046-nucleotide ribosomal RNA is filed under the name Stylochus stellae. Its description in RNAcentral is "16S ribosomal RNA". The stretch from base 692 to 996 matches the Rfam family "Bacterial large subunit ribosomal RNA", at positions 2074 to 2646 of the family's 2925-position model. Lineage: Eukaryota; Metazoa; Platyhelminthes; Polycladida; Stylochidae. The record is from RNAcentral.